Molecule: ribosomal RNA, 1292 nt
Filed under: uncultured fungus
Lineage: Eukaryota; Fungi
Description: eukaryotic LSU rRNA
Rfam family: Eukaryotic large subunit ribosomal RNA (bases 626-1292)
Source: RNAcentral
AAGUCGUAACAAGGUUUUCGUAGGUGAACCUGCGGAAGGAUCAUUACUGAACUGUCGACACGAGUUGUUGCUGGUCCUCGAAAGGGGGCAUGUGCACGCUCUGUUUACACAUCCACUCACACCUGUGCACCCUCUGUAGUUCUGUGGCCUUGGGGACUCUGUCCUCUUGCUGUGGUCCUACGUCUUUACAUACACACCGUAAUACAGUCUCAUGGAAUGUAGUCGCGUUUAACGCAAUACAAUACAACUUUCAGCAACGGAUCUCUUGGCUCUCGCAUCGAUGAAGAACGCAGCGAAAUGCGAUAAGUAAUGUGAAUUGCAGAAUUCAGUGAAUCAUCGAAUCUUCGAACGCACCUUGCGCCCUUUGGCUACUCCGAAGGGCAUGCCUGUUUGAGUAUCAUGAACACCUCAACUCUCAUGGUCCGCCAUGAUGAGCUUGNACUUUGNAGGUAUUGCCGGCCUAACCGUCAGCUCCUCUCAAAUGGAUCAGCUUGCCAGUGUUUGGUGNCAUCACGGGUGUGAUAACUAUCUACGCUCGUGGUCNUCUGCCAUGUAACCUUCAGUGAUGGAGGNUCGCUGGAGCUCACAGACGUCUCUCCUCAGGGAGGACAGCAUUUUGAACGUUUGAUCUCAAAUCAGGUAGGACUACCCGCUGAACUUAAGCAUAUCAAUAAGCGGAGGNAAAGAAACUAACAAGGAUUCCCCUAGUAACUGCGAGUGAAGCGGGAAGAGCUCAAAUUUAAANUCUGGCGUGCCUCUGNUCGUCCGAGUUGUAGUCUGGAGAAGCGUUUUCCGUGUUGGACCGUGUAUAAGUCUCUUGGAACAGGGCGUCAUAGAGGGUGAGAAUCCCGUCUUUGACACGGACUACCAAUGCUUUGUGAUGCGCUCUCAAAGAGUCGAGUUGUUUGGGAAUGCAGCUCAAAAUGGGUGGUAAAUUCCAUCUAAAGCUAAAUAUAGGCGAGAGACCGAUAGCGAACAAGUACCGUGAGGGAAAGAUGAAAAGCACUUUGGAAAGAGAGUUAAACAGUACGUGAAAUUGCUGAAAGGGAAACGCUUGAAGUCAGUCACGUCUGCCAGGACUCAGCCUCGCUUUUGCUUGGUGUAUUUUCUGGUCUGAUGGGCCAACAUCAAUUUUGACCGUUGGAAAAAGGCAUUGGGAAUGUGGCACCCUCGGGUGUGUUAUAGCCCUUUGUUGUAUACGACGGUUGGGAUUGAGGACUGCAGCACGCCUUCAUGGCCGGGGUUCGCCCACGUACGUGCUUAGGAUGUUGGCAUAAUGGCUUUAAGCGACC